Molecule: microRNA, 24 nt
Filed under: Ananas comosus (pineapple)
Lineage: Eukaryota; Viridiplantae; Streptophyta; Magnoliopsida; Poales; Bromeliaceae
Description: microRNA s0259_c095
Source: RNAcentral
GCGAUUACUCUUAUCUCCAUCACU